This 235-nucleotide unclassified non-coding RNA is filed under the name Hevea brasiliensis (rubber tree). The record is from RNAcentral. Lineage: Eukaryota; Viridiplantae; Streptophyta; Magnoliopsida; Malpighiales; Euphorbiaceae.
GCAUACAGAGACCAAUUACAUGGAUCCGGACAGUCAAGGACUGAACUUACCGGAGAGUCCGUUUGCAUCUCCAAUCGCUAGCAGCAUUUCUACAGUUAUAUAGGUUCAGCACGCAGAAGAAAUAUAGAGUUACCUGAACAAAGGCAACUGCAACAUCUUCGGUUUGAUACGUAACAGCACCUUUUUUUCGCGUUUUUCCUUCCGUCUUCUCUUAACUUGUUCACCAAGGUUUACA